CCAAAGGCUCUUUUCAGAGCCACUCAGCUUUUCUAAACAGAAGCGG
Molecule: regulatory RNA element, 46 nt
Organism: Loxodonta africana (African savanna elephant)
Lineage: Eukaryota; Metazoa; Chordata; Mammalia; Proboscidea; Elephantidae
Rfam family: Histone 3' UTR stem-loop
About the family: The mRNAs of metazoan histone genes lack a poly-A tail. 3' end processing occurs at a site between a highly conserved stem-loop (modelled by this family) and a purine rich region around 20 nts downstream (the histone downstream element, or HDE). The stem-loop is bound by a 31 kDa stem-loop binding protein (SLBP - also termed the histone hairpin binding protein, or HBP).
Source: Rfam